CGUCAUCACAAUCACUAUUAAAGUGUUUACUUAAGAGUAAAGUUAUGUCAAACACUAGACUGAAAGCCCAAUUGUCCUUAAAUUGUGGUCAACUAAUAGAUCUAUUAACUAAUUAUAUAAGAAAUUUUAUCACUAAUGACGCUUCGGGUGCCGGCAUCGGAAACGCCUGGGUUGGUGGCUAUGGCGGAGGCGGCGUCGGUAACGCCUGGCUUCAUGUUGGUGGCGGCGGUGGUGGUGGUGGUGGCGAUGGUGCCGAUGGUGGCGCUGGUGUCCAACAAAUAGAAAGUCUACCGCCGCCGCCUCCAUCGCCAUUAUUGAACACUUCACGCCAUAGAGCCAUAGAUAAUCUCUUGGAAAAGUUGAAAACAAAUUUGCCACAAAUUGAUGGAUCGGUUGAUCGGGUCGUAGGACGCUAUCCAAUGGAUAGGUCUGAACAAAAUUUUUAUGAUAAUGAAAUUAUGGCUAAAAUUCAAACGGUCCAGCAAUUGGCUCAGUUAUACAAAGAUAAUAGUCAAACAGUGAUUAAUCGUCGUCUUGGCGAACAAAUGGUGAAUAUUUGCGAUGACUUUUUCAAAGGUUGGCCCACUUUUGGACAAUCGGACGGCACGGGUAGUCUUGUGCCUUACUCCGACACCGACACAAGCACUAGCUCUUCGGCGACCCCGCCAUCAGAUGCCGAAGCGGAACUACCGUUCAAUCGCUAUUAGGUCCUCGUAUCGUAAUUUCGGUUAUCU
This is a long non-coding RNA of Oppia nitens, 734 nucleotides long. RefSeq lists it as uncharacterized. NCBI's taxonomy places the organism in Eukaryota, Metazoa, Arthropoda, Arachnida, Sarcoptiformes, Oppiidae. The transcript has 3 exons. The record is from RefSeq and is a predicted model, not a curated record.